UUGAGGUCUUGAGCUCCAGCCCUAACUGAGGAUGCAAGCGCUACCGCGGAAGGAAGGGUUGAGAUUGGAAGUGCAGUGCAAAGGGCUGGAGCCAGCAGGAGCAGGGCAGUGAUCAUCCGCCUGUGCUCAGCGCCGUUGGCUGAAGAGAGGUGAUGUCGAGGUGGGGUCGUCCUCUUCUCCCGUGUAAGCAGUGAUAGACUGGAGGGAAGGCCUCAAGUGGCACGAGGGGAGAUUCAGGUCGGAUGUGAAGAAAAACGUCUCCACAGGAGCGGUCAGACGCUGGAACGGGCUGCCCAGGGAGGUGAUAUUGUUACUGUCCUUGCAGCCACCAGAGCUCUCCCUCAUGCUCUUCCCUAUGACGUGAGACCGCGUCGAAGGCCUUGCAGACGUCUGGGUAGGUGAAGUCAGUU
This is a non-coding RNA of Meleagris gallopavo (turkey), 410 nucleotides long. The record is from RefSeq and is a predicted model, not a curated record. NCBI's taxonomy places the organism in Eukaryota, Metazoa, Chordata, Aves, Galliformes, Phasianidae.